UACGCAGGGGGCUAGCGUUGUUCGGAAUUACUGGGCGUAAAGCGCACGUAGGCGGAUUCUUAAGUCUGGGGUGAAAGCCCGGAGCUCAACUCCGGAACUGCCUUGGAUACUGGGAGUCUCGAGGAUGGAAGAGGUCAGUGGAAUGCCGAGUGUAGAGGUGAAAUUCGUAGAUAUUCGGCGGAACACCAGUGGCGAAGGCGACUGGCUGGUCCAUUUCUGACGCUGAGGUGAGAAAGUGUGGGGAGCAAACAGG
This 253-nucleotide ribosomal RNA is filed under the name uncultured bacterium. Its description in RNAcentral is "partial 16S ribosomal RNA". It matches the Rfam family "Bacterial small subunit ribosomal RNA", at positions 524 to 776 of the family's 1533-position model. The record is from RNAcentral.